AUGUCUGUUUUCAGUAUACCCAAAGGUGUUUGUAAGGAUAUCACGGACUUAAUUUCCCAGUAUUGGUGGGGUGAUGAUGAGGAACAUAAGAAAAUGCAUUGGUUUUCGUGGUGGGAACUAUGCUACCCCAAGAGUGAAGGGGGCAUGGGAUUUAGAGAUUUAUACUCCUUCAACUUGGCAAUGCUAUCAAAACAAUGCUGGAGGUUGAUCACAUGUCCUGAAUCUUUGUGUGCUAGAGUGCUCAAAGCAAAAUAUUUCCCAAAUGGGAGUCUACUCCAAGCUAGCUUAAAAAAUGGAGCAUCGUUUACUUGGCAAAGUAUCAUGAAAGGAUUAGAGACCUUCAAGCUGGGAUACAUAUGGAGAAUUGGGACAGGAGAGCAUGUGAACAUUUGGAGGGACCCGUGGAUCCCA
Molecule: ribosomal RNA, 411 nt
Filed under: Triticum aestivum (bread wheat)
Lineage: Eukaryota; Viridiplantae; Streptophyta; Magnoliopsida; Poales; Poaceae
Description: partial small subunit ribosomal RNA
Source: RNAcentral